CAGGGGCCUCACCCAACUCCCACAUAGCCCACAGCCUGAAAAGCUGGUCUUUCUCCCACUGUGGCCCCUCAACAGCACUGAGUUUAUUUCCAGGCAGCCAGUGAGCAAGGCUGAGAACUUGCCCCAGGCUACCGGACUCCCAGCUGAGAAAGCAAGCCGACUCAACAGUUCCUCAGCUGUCCCACAGAGCCUGAAGCAGCAAUCCACCUACUUCAAAGGGUCUAUGGAUUCUCUCAGCUUUCCUGGCAUGUUCCUGUGGUGGAAAAUGCAAUCUGGAGUGUUCCUGGGGAGCUCUGCUGUGUAAACCUUGGCUUUACAGUGAGAAGACGGGCUGAUCACAGAUGUGAACCGUCAGGUAACCAGGGCUGCAGUGAGAGCCACAGAUUUCAUGGGAAGUGGAAGAGGAGAUGGAAAGAGGUAAAUCAGGGAUUUCUUCUUGAUUUGGAUUCAUUGUUG
Molecule: long non-coding RNA, 456 nt
Filed under: Homo sapiens (human)
Lineage: Eukaryota; Metazoa; Chordata; Mammalia; Primates; Hominidae
Description: HSALNT0340766
Source: RNAcentral